RNAcentral lists this non-coding RNA (37 nucleotides) under unclassified sequences. The record is from RNAcentral.
CUCUGGCCCGACGGCGACUGGGCCAGGGCGGAAAGAG